AGGGUUUCUUCUCAGUAACGUAGCUAACGCGUGAAGUUGACCGCGUGGGGAGUACGGCAAGCAAGGUUGAAAAUCAAAGGAAUKGRCGGGGACCCACACAAUCGGUGGAUGAUGUGGUUUAAUUCGAUGCAACGCGACAAACCUUACUUACCCCUGACAUGUCUGGAAUCAUGAAGAGAUUUGUGAUUGUUGGAAACAGAGCCACAACUCAGGUAUUGCAUUCCUGUCGUCAGCUCGUGUGGUGAGAUGUUGGGUUAAGUACCGCACCGAGCGCAUCCCUUGUCAUUAGAUCAUACGAAAGGGCACUCUAAUGAGACUGCCGGUGACAAACCGGAGGAAGGUGGGGAUGACGUCAGAUCAUCAUGCCCCUUAUGGGUAGGGCUACACACGUCAUACAAUGGCCGGGACAGAGGGCUGCCAACCCGCGAGGGGGAGCUAAUCUCAGAAAGUCGGUCGUAGUCCGGAUCGCAGUCUGCAACUCGACUGCGUGAAGUCGGAAUCGCUAGUAAUCGCGGAUCAGCUCGCCGCGGUGAAUACGUUCCCGGGUCUUGUACACACCGCCCGUCACACCAUGGGAGCGG
RNAcentral lists this ribosomal RNA (581 nucleotides) under bacterium. RNAcentral describes it as "bacterial SSU rRNA". The record is from RNAcentral.